GCAGAUUUUUUUUUUACACACUGUUCAUAAAAGGAUGGUCAUAGUUGCACGAAUGUGCGAUUUCAUAUACCCAGCUGUAAUGGGUGUUGGUCCUGCUGUUGCCGCAGAAAGCUGCUGGUCUUCAAAUAGAUGAUGUUGACCUUUUCGAGAUUAAUGAGGUUUUUUUGCUUCUCAGUACGCAUACUGCUGCAAGAAGUUGGGACUUGAUCCUGCAAAAGUUAACGUUAACGGAGGUGGUUAUGGUGCACUGCUUUCAAGCCUCUUUCUAAAUAGAGAUUCAGAUGGGACAUUCAACAUUUUCACAAAUUUGUUUAGUAACGUGGAUUCCACGUGCAUGCUGACUAGUCUGUAUAUAAGUGCAAGUUUGUCCUAUAAUCAUCUUUUAAAUGAGGAGAUGAUCAGGGUACAUCUUAAAGCAAAGAGACAUGCUCAAUCGAAGAAAUUAUUAGGAUAAGGGAGGCUUAAGCUGAUGUUGAAUAUAUGGUGUGUUGGAGGAAGAGCAAGAGACACACGCUCUUGCUCAGGUGUUCAUCCUAAUCCUUUUAUAAUUUUUGAUUUCUCAUGUGCAAAAUAUUUUCUUAGAUGAAAUUGCUACUCCUUGUGGCAUUUAAAUCUGAUCAUGGUUGCCAAAGAAGGAUUCAAGCAGGCAGCGCCAAACUUCAGAGAUCAAACAUGCUGAGAAAUGUGAAAAAACAACAGCCAAAACUUUUUGACAGGAAAAUUCUGUAAUUCUGUAAAGUGGUAGGGUUCUGUAAUUCUGUAGGUUAGGUUGAAAUUGACAUCUCAUUACUGUAAUGCUGGAAUUUCAGUAUGUAAUAUCAAUUUUUUGGGUUAUUUAGAAAGACAAAUACAGCUGAUGGGUAUACGAUGUGGUUUUGUAUAAAGACAAUUUGCUUCUUUCUUCUUUAUCGGAAUGGUUAUAAUUCAUUUCUGCA
Long non-coding RNA from Oryza sativa Japonica Group (Japanese rice), 935 nucleotides. RefSeq lists it as uncharacterized. NCBI's taxonomy places the organism in Eukaryota, Viridiplantae, Streptophyta, Magnoliopsida, Poales, Poaceae. The record is from RefSeq and is a predicted model, not a curated record.